UCCGGGUCGAAAAUAAAAGGCCACCCGUGGCUUGAAAAGGAAAAAGGUUUCUGUUUCUGGAGGGAAGGAAAGAAGAACCGAACAACGUUUAGCCCAAGUCGCUUGAUCUGCCUUGCCACUGGAGAAGUGUUUGUUUUGGGCUCCGAAAGUGACGGCCGAGGAACAGCCUUGGAAAGUCCUUGUAGGGCGACAACUCCCGCCGAUGCAAGACUUGAUGAGACCAGUUUCUACGCAAGAGCUUGACCUGUUUCAGGUCCAGAGAAACUCAGUGACACUCUUGCUUCCCAGCCUUCCUGGUCACUCUCAGAUAUUCCAGAUUGAAAGUUUCCAUGGCAUCCAUUGCCAGGCCUUGUGUGCUCUCGGGGAAGAUGCUCUUCUGUACCCACCAGGUCAGUAUCAGAAAAAACAAGAGCAGCUGAAGACAAACACAAUUUUCCUGAGACAACAAAUAAACAAAACAAUGAGUGGUUGAAGUAUGAAUAUGUAAUUAACAACUUCAAAUGUUCUGAGGAAAGGACCAGAGAGGAGCCAAAAGAACUGGACCCCAUGUUUGCCUAAAGGGGUCCAUAUUGUGACCUGAUGAAUCCAAAUGCUUACCUUUCUGCAGAUCAUUUGCAGAGUUCAUUUAACUUCAUUCAAAAUACCUCUAAACCCACCACCCAUAAGAAUCAUAAGAUAAACAGUAUAAAACA
Odocoileus virginianus texanus is the source of this 692-nucleotide long non-coding RNA. RefSeq lists it as uncharacterized. The record is from RefSeq and is a predicted model, not a curated record. Lineage: Eukaryota; Metazoa; Chordata; Mammalia; Artiodactyla; Cervidae.